This 390-nucleotide ribosomal RNA is filed under the name Triticum aestivum (bread wheat). RNAcentral describes it as "partial small subunit ribosomal RNA". Lineage: Eukaryota; Viridiplantae; Streptophyta; Magnoliopsida; Poales; Poaceae. The record is from RNAcentral.
AUGGUUCAUCGCCUUCUUCGAGAGCAUAUUGAUCAAGAAGUGGACUAUAAGGUGAUUGUUUUCUGCACAGCAGCCAUGGUGACUGAAUUUAUGUAUAUAAUGCUUCGAGAUCUGAAACUAAACGUCAUAGAGAUAAAUUUAGGAAAGCCUCAGCUUUAUAGGACACGUGUAUCUGAAGAGUUACGGGAUUCCAAUCGCCUGAUUCUGGUAACAUCAGAUGUUUCAACACGUGGAGUGAAUUAUCCAGAUGUUACCCCGCCCAUUGGGAAGAUCCUAUGUCACAGCCAUCGGCCUUGUGUCUGGAGCCCCUUGCAGGUGUACUACCGGCACAAAGUGUCCAGCGCGGGCAGCACAAGGAAUUUGGUUUGGGCCCUCGUCUGUAGGUCAUGA